This 497-nucleotide ribosomal RNA is filed under the name uncultured bacterium. RNAcentral describes it as "partial 16S ribosomal RNA". It matches the Rfam family "Bacterial small subunit ribosomal RNA", at positions 28 to 507 of the family's 1533-position model. The record is from RNAcentral.
GACGAACGCUGGCGGCGUGCCUAAUACAUGCAAGUUGAGCGCUGAAGGUUGGUACUUGUACCAACUGGAUGAGCAGCGAACGGGUGAGUAACGCGUGGGGAAUCUGCCUUUUAGCGGGGGACAACAUUUGGAAACGAAUGCUAAUACCGCAUAAAAACUUUAAACACAAGUUUUAAGUUUGAAAGAUGCAAUUGCAUCACUCAAAGAUGAUCCCGCGUUGUAUUAGCUAGUUGGUGAGGUAAAGGCUCACCAAGGCGAUGAUACAUAGCCGACCUGAGAGGGUGAUCGGCCACAUUGGGACUGAGACACGGCCCAAACUCCUACGGGAGGCAGCAGUAGGGAAUCUUCGGCAAUGGACGAAAGUCUGACCGAGCAACGCCGCGUGAGUGAAGAAGGUUUUCGGAUCGUAAAACUCUGUUGGUAGAGAAGAACGUUGGUGAGAGUGGAAAGCUCAUCAAGUGACGGUAACUACCCAGAAAGGGACGGCUAACUACGUG